CCUACGGGAGGCAGCAGUGGGGAAUAUUGCACAAUGGGGGAAACCCUGAUGCAGCGACGCCGCGUGAGUGAAGAAGUACCUCGUUAUGGAAAGCUCUAUCAGCAGGGAAGUAAAUGACGGUACCUGUGCAAGAAGCCCCGGCUAACUACGUGCCAGCAGCCGCGGUAAUACGCAGGGGGCAAGCGUAAUCCGGAUUUACCGGGUGUAAAGGGAGCGUAGACGGCAGUGCAAGUCUGGAGUGAAAGGCGGGGGCUCAACCCCCGGACUGCUCUGGAAACUGUACGGCUGGAGUGCAGGAGAGGUAAGUGGAAUGCCUAGUGUAGCGGUGAAAUGCGUAGAUAUUAGGAGGAACACCAGUGGCGAAGGCGGCUUACUGGACUGUAACUGACGUUGAGGCUCGAAAGCGUGGGGAGCAAACAGGAUUAGAUACCCCUGUAGUC
RNAcentral lists this ribosomal RNA (440 nucleotides) under uncultured bacterium. RNAcentral's name for it is "partial 16S ribosomal RNA". It matches the Rfam family "Bacterial small subunit ribosomal RNA", at positions 338 to 795 of the family's 1533-position model. The record is from RNAcentral.